Molecule: non-coding RNA, 97 nt
Filed under: Secundilactobacillus similis
Lineage: Bacteria; Bacillati; Bacillota; Bacilli; Lactobacillales; Lactobacillaceae
Also listed under: 1 other name
Description: Lactobacillus similis TPP sequence
Rfam family: TPP riboswitch aptamer (THI element)
About the family: Vitamin B(1) in its active form thiamin pyrophosphate (TPP) is an essential coenzyme that is synthesised by coupling of pyrimidine and thiazole moieties in bacteria.
Source: RNAcentral
UAAAUUAACUAGGGGCGCAAUUUGCUGAGACGGUGUCGAACCGAACCCUUUGAACCUGUGAGCUAACCCUCGCGUAGGAAAGUUAAUGUGACUUGCU